CCCCCCGCCGUUCCCCUUCCCCCGCGCCGCGCCCCUUGAGCGAAGCCUCGGCUCUUUCCGCCCUCGCUUCGGCGCCGCUCGGCUCCUCUCCCGCCCCCCUCUCCCCUCCCUUAUCCUCCCCGAGUGCUGCGAGCACGGGACAGCGAGUUUGCCGCGGCUCGAUUCGCGCCGGCCGAGGACUCCGCGGCCGCUUCGGCUCACCUGGGCAUUCAUUCCCCAGCCCCGCACCUCGUCAUCCUUAAACUCCUCUGUGACCCGCCGGUCGCCGGGGCAGCCGCGGUCGCCCCCGCGUUGCGGCCCCCGGGGUUAGUUCCCUUGCCUCCUCCCCGGCUGGGGGAAGAAAGAGGCGGCGGCGGCGGGAGCCGGGGCAGUGGGGGAGAGGCCUGAGGUGAGAACCCGCCUGGCCCCGCUGGGAAUAUGGCGACCGGUGGCUACCGGACCAGCGGCGGCGGCAGCACCACAGACUUCCUGGAGGAGUGGAAGGCGAAGCGCGAGAAGAUGCGCGCCAAGCUGAACGCCCCCAGCUCGGCGGCCGCGGG
This 539-nucleotide long non-coding RNA is filed under the name Dasypus novemcinctus (nine-banded armadillo). Its description in RNAcentral is "lncRNA (ENSDNOG00000050295.1)". Lineage: Eukaryota; Metazoa; Chordata; Mammalia; Cingulata; Dasypodidae. The record is from RNAcentral.